CUAUCAAUUUUAACUAGACUUACACAUGCAAGUAUCCGCACCCCAGUGAAGAUGCCCAUAGUUCCCCGCCCGGGAACGAGGAGCUGGUAUCAGGCACACUCUCGGUAGCCCAUAACACCUUGCUUUASCCACACCCCCACGGGGAAUUCCAGCAGUGAUAAACAUUAAGCCAUAAGUGAAAGCUUGACUUAAUUAAAGUUAAAUAGGGCCGGUAAAUCUCGUGCCAGCCACCGCGGUUAAACGGGAGGCUCAAGUUGAUAGACAUCGGCGUAAAGCGUGGUUAGGGGCCCAACUUUAACACUAAAGCCGAACGCUCUUAGAACAGUUAUACGUACUGAGAGUAAGAAGAUCAAUUACGAAAGUAGCUUUAUUCAAACCUGACUCCACGAAAGCUAAGGCACAAACUGGGAUUAGAUACCCCACUAUGCUUAGCCCUAAACAUAGACAGUUGUUUACCCCCACUGUCCGCCCGGGUACUACGAGCAUUAGUUUGAAACCCAAAGGACUUGGCGGGCUUUAGACCCACCUAGAGGAGCCUGUCCUA
Molecule: ribosomal RNA, 544 nt
Filed under: Morone americana (white perch)
Lineage: Eukaryota; Metazoa; Chordata; Actinopteri; Moronidae
Description: partial small subunit ribosomal RNA
Source: RNAcentral